UGAGUAGGGCGGGACACGUGGUAUCCUGUCUGAAUAUGGGGGGACCAUCCUCCAAGGCUAAAUACUCCUGACUGACCGAUAGUGAACCAGUACCGUGAGGGAAAGGCGAAAAGAACCCCGGCGAGGGGAGUGAAAAAGAACCUGAAACCGUGUACGUACAAGCAGUGGGAGCCUCUUAAUGGGGUGACUGCGUACCUUUUGUAUAAUGGGUCAGCGACUUAUAUUCUGUAGCAAGGUUAACCGAAUAGGGGAGCCGAAGGGAAACCGAGUCUUAACUGGGCGUUAAGUUGCAGGGUAUAGACCCGAAACCCGGUGAUCUAGCCAUGGGCAGGUUGAAGGUUGGGUAACACUAACUGGAGGACCGAACCGACUAAUGUUGAAAAAUUAGCGGAUGACUUGUGGCUGGGGGUGAAAGGCCAAUCAAACCGGGAGAUAGCUGGUUCUCCCCGAAAGCUAUUUAGGUAGCGCCUCGUGAAUUCAUCUCCGGGGGUAGAGCACUGUUUCGGCAAGGGGGUCAUCCCGACUUACCAACCCGAUGCAAACUGCGAAUACCGGAGAAUGUUAUCACGGGAGACACACGGCGGGUGCUAACGUCCGUCGUGAAGAGGGAAACAACCCAGACCGCCAGCUAAGGUCCCAAAGUCAUGGUUAAGUGGGAAACGAUGUGGGAAGGCCCAGACAGCCAGGAUGUUGGCUUAGAAGCAGCCAUCAUUUAAAGAAAGCGUAAUAGCUCACUGGUCGAGUCGGCCUGCGCGGAAGAUGUAACGGGGCUAAACCAUGCACCGAAGCUGCGGCAGCGACACUAUGUGUUGUUGGGUAGGGGAGCGUUCUGUAAGCCUGUGAAGGUGGCCUGUGAG
This 857-nucleotide ribosomal RNA is filed under the name Escherichia coli. Its description in RNAcentral is "23S ribosomal RNA (partial)". It matches the Rfam family "Bacterial large subunit ribosomal RNA", at positions 409 to 1267 of the family's 2925-position model. The record is from RNAcentral. Lineage: Bacteria; Pseudomonadati; Pseudomonadota; Gammaproteobacteria; Enterobacterales; Enterobacteriaceae.